CUCUACAAGGUGUCGAAUGCGUUCCAAAGGGAUGCUGGGCCAUGUUGACUCCAAUGCUUCCCACAGUUGUGUCAAAUUGGCUGGAUGUCCUUUGGGCGGUGGACCAGUCUUGAUACACACGGGAAACUGUUGGGCAUGAAAAACCCAGCAGCAUUGCAGUUCUUGACACAAAUCGGUGCGCCUGGCAUCCACUACCCCGUUCAAGGAACUUCUAUGUUUUAGUCUUGCCCAUUCACCCUCUGAAUAACACACAUACACAGUGUGUUCUCAGUUGCCUCAACAAGUGAAAACAAUAAGGGAUUCUAGCAUCUGGAUUCACCUGGUCAUUCUGUCAUGGAAAGAGCACGUAUUCUUUGUGUAUAACGGGGAUAGGUUGGAAGUAGGAUACCAUUUCAGACGAGCCUCAUGUUAUUGUCAUGGAAAGAGCACGUAUUCUUUGUGUAUAACGGGGAUAGGUUAGAAGUAGGAUGCCAUUUCAGACGAGCCUCAUGUUAUUGUCAUGGAAAGAGCACGUAUUCUUUGUGUAUAACGGGGAUAGGUUGGAAGUAGGAUGCCAUUUCAGACGAGCCUCAUGUUAUUGUCAUGGAAAGAGCACGUAUUCUUUGUGUAUAACGGGGAUAGGUUAGAAGUAGGAUGCCAUUUCAGACGAGCCUCAUGUUAUUGUCAUGGAAAGAGCACGUAUUCUUCGUGUAUAACGGGGAUAGGUUAGAAGUAGGAUGCCAUUUCAGACGAGCCUCAUGUUAUUGUCAUGGAAAGAGCACGUAUUCUUCGUGUAUAACGGGGAUAGGUUAGAAGUAGGAUGCCAUUUCAGACGAGCCUCAUGUUAUUGUCAUGGAAAGAGCACGUAUUCUUCCUGUAUAACGGGGAUAGGUUGGAAGUAGGAUGCCAUUUCAGACGAGCCUCAUGUUAUUGUCAUGGAAAGAGCACGUAUUCUUCGUGUAUAACGGGGAUAGGUUGGAAGUAGGAUGCCAUUUCAGACGAGCCUCAUGUUAUUGUCAUGUCUAAUGUGUUGUCCUUCCAUAUUUUGUAGGUGGCCAACUACAUGACUUAUGUAAUGACCAUGCUAUUAUGUCUAAUACUGUCCAUCUAUACAGGUGACCAGAGCCAUAUAUUUAGAGUUGGGCCAACUUUAAGAAUGGAUGCCAUGUUGGCGCCUUCGAGCGUUCCAUUUAUCCAUUCAUGAUGACAAUUUUGAAUAUUGUACUUAUCGUUGCUUUAUUAUUCAGUGAACUGCUGUUGGUCAAUAUUGCCCAUGAGGAGCUAACAUGGCUGCCAUGGAAUGUAGGUAAUGUAAAUGCAUCAUAAUGCAGAAACCUCAACAUCCUAACUCUCUAAAUAUGUGA
This is a long non-coding RNA of Oncorhynchus keta (chum salmon), 1343 nucleotides long. RefSeq lists it as uncharacterized. The record is from RefSeq and is a predicted model, not a curated record. NCBI's taxonomy places the organism in Eukaryota, Metazoa, Chordata, Actinopteri, Salmoniformes, Salmonidae. The transcript is spliced from 4 exons.